CAUCAAGUGUCAAAGAUUUGAAGCUAUAGGAUUCUGAGAGGCAGUAGACAACGGCAACCUGGGACUGACUAGAUCAAACCAAGGCAACAAACAAAGAAGGAAAACACCUGUCUUCCCUUCCUAAGUCUGCUUCCAGGAAAGCGCGUCUUUCUUUAAUUUUCUUUCAAAAAGAAAGGGCGUCAAAAUCUGUUCUUUCCCCCUCUCUUUCUCUCUGUCCCUUAUCGUGAAUAAUCCACAUCUGUGGUAUAUAUAAAGGAUGCGUAGAUUCGUGAUUGGGAGAGCUAAAAGCCUCCUCAACCGUUCAUAUCAAUAUCACUGUCAAAAUCAAGCCUUGCUGCGUCCUCUUGCCCCUUCUCACUCUCGUUUCUUGUCUUCUACUCCUGGUCUUGAUUCCUCUUCUACUUCUUCUGCUUCAUCCAUGGCUCCUCCCGUCUCUCUUGAUACCAUUAAUCCUAAGGUUUUGGAAUGUGAGUAUGCUGUCCGUGGUGAGAUUGUCACCCUUGCACAGCGGUUACAAGAUGAGUUAAAGGCUAAGCCAGGUUCUCAGCCAUUUGAUGAGAUACUGUACUGCAACAUUGGAAAUCCUCAGUCUCUUGGUCAGCAGCCAAUAGCAUUUUUUCGAGAGGUUAUUGCAUUAUGUGAUCAUCCUUCUAUUUUAGACAAAAGUGAAACACAGGGUUUGUUCAGUGCUGAUGCCAUACAACGAGCUUGGCAGAUUCUUGAUCAAAUUCCUGGAAGAGCAACUGGCGCUUACAGUCACAGUCAGGGUGUCAAGGGAUUACGUGAUACAAUUGCUGCCGGAAUUGAAGCUCGUGAUGGUUUUCCUGCUAAUCCAAAUGAUAUAUUUUUGACGGAUGGUGCAAGUCCUGCGGUCCAUAUGAUGAUGCAGUUACUUAUAAGAUCAGAAAAGGAUGGAAUGCUCUGUCCCAUUCCUCAGUACCCCUUGUA
Molecule: unclassified non-coding RNA, 948 nt
Filed under: Hevea brasiliensis (rubber tree)
Lineage: Eukaryota; Viridiplantae; Streptophyta; Magnoliopsida; Malpighiales; Euphorbiaceae
Source: RNAcentral